GUCCACGCUGUAAACGAUGAGUGCUGGAUGUCGGGGGUAUUCACCCCCUCGGUAUCGUAGCUAACGCGUUAAGCACUCCGCCUGGGGAGUACGGCCGCAAGGUUGAAACUCAAAGAAAUUGACGGGGGCCCGCACAAGCGGUGGAGUAUGUGGUUUAAUUCGACGCAACGCGAAGAACCUUACCCAGCCUUGACUUCCGUGGAACCUGGUAGAAACACCGGGGUGCCCUCGCAAGAGGGAGCCACGAGACAGGUGCUGCAUGGCUGUCGU
Molecule: ribosomal RNA, 270 nt
Filed under: uncultured bacterium
Lineage: Bacteria
Description: partial 16S ribosomal RNA
Rfam family: Bacterial small subunit ribosomal RNA
Source: RNAcentral